UUGACCUCGGAUCAGGUAGGGAUACCCGCUGAACUUAAGCAUAUCAAAAGCGCGGAGGAAG
Molecule: ribosomal RNA, 61 nt
Filed under: Sclerotinia sclerotiorum
Lineage: Eukaryota; Fungi; Ascomycota; Leotiomycetes; Helotiales; Sclerotiniaceae
Description: partial 28S ribosomal RNA
Source: RNAcentral